Silurus meridionalis is the source of this 2322-nucleotide long non-coding RNA. RefSeq lists it as uncharacterized. The transcript has 2 exons. The record is from RefSeq and is a predicted model, not a curated record. NCBI's taxonomy places the organism in Eukaryota, Metazoa, Chordata, Actinopteri, Siluriformes, Siluridae.
GGAAAAUCAAUGAAAAUGUGCUUAAUUAUAAUUGGGUCUCUACCAAAAGAAUAAUAAUAAAAAAAAAAACCCAAGGGGGAAGUGUGUUAUUGUUCACAGCAUAACAGGAUAUAAAAGCAUUGAAUUGACUAAACAUUUUAAAAUACACAUGAACCCCACAGGGAUUUAUUAUUUUGAGGGGGAGGCGAAUGGACAGUUCCAGUUUGGACACAUCUUCUGCUUCAGUGUUUUUUUCUUUAUUAUUAUUAUUUUCAACAUUGUACAUUAAAGACAUACUAUAAAAGAACACGUAUGGAAUUAGAUAAUAAACAAAAAUGUGUCAACACAGAAUAUGAUUUAUAUUUUAGAUUGCGAAGUAGCUCCAUAUGCUUUGAAGCCAACUUGACAAACUCAUGGCAUUCUCUAAUCAGGUUCAUGAGAGAUCGUCACCUGGAAUGUUUACAGUUCACAGAUGUGUCUUGUCAAGAGUUCAUUCGUGACAUUUCUUGCCUUUUUAAUGUGCUGUCUUGUGCAGAGGAAAGGGUGAGUCAAUAGUCCUAUUAGUGCUACUAGACCUACUUUACAAAUCCAUAUUAUGAAACAUCUCGAGGACUUUAUAAGUAAGGGGGUAUAUUUAAAGUUCUUGAGAUUUUUCGGAUUGACUGACCUUCAUUUCUUAAAGAAAAGAUAGAUCUUUUUUUCUUCACUAUCUAAUUGGCUAUCGUGAGGACCAGGUAAAGAACAAGAAUAAUUCAAUUCAUAUUCUUUUAUGGUUCGGAUGUUUUAAUAUUAAUGUACAUUAAAAUUAAAGGGAGAAGCCAUUGAAGGGAAGUGUGUCUGAAAUUUUGAAUGGAACUCUGUUUUCGUCUCCAAAGUUUAACGUUAUUUUUUCUAAAUUCUACAAACUGAUAUUAAAUACACACUAAACAAAAUCCUCAUUAUUAUGACAGAAUGACAUGGGAUGUUUGGUAGGUUAUCAUUUGCAUUCUAAUGCAAAAUUAGAGAUCAUAUUUUUAAAAAAAUGUACCAAAUCGUUUCAUGUGUUUCAAAUAAUUCAUGUCGAAAUGUUUCCGCGGACGUAAAUAAACGACGGACCGCACGAUUAUGUGGUAAUUCGUGCUGAACGGAAACGGGUUAUUAUCCGGGAAUUAGAAAAUAAUUUCAGUCUUGUAAUUUAAAUUAUAACUAUUUUGGAUGUCUAGUGAUUUCAUGUUACUAGUAAAUUCAAGUUUUAAAUGUGUAACGCGUGUCAUGAUGAUGUGGUUGGUUCAAUUAUUUUGCUAAAUAUCAGAACACCCCUACAAUGGAGUGUACCAUCUCCUAAUUAAGCUGAUUGUCCAUGUCGCCGCAAACUGAAGCCUCUGCUCAUGUCAGGGGUCUCACAGCAGACCAUCCGUCUCCUGCCUGGUGGCUCCAUCUUCAGCAGUCUUCUACCGAUAUACCCUAUGUUCCUCCUCUCAAUCAUUCCUUUCUCUCCUUGUCUCCAAAACGUCCCACCUGCACGGUCCCUCUAAUAACCUCGUUUCUAAUCCUGUCCAUCCUCAUCACACCUAAUUAAAUUUAACUUUAUCUUUGAGAAGAUAAAAAAAACAGCUUGUUGUCUCCAAAAACGUAUAUAGAAAACCUCAGAGACUCUUCAAAUGUAGGUUGAAUAAGACCCCCCCCAAAUAGUUGGACAUUCAGGGGACUAUCUGCCCUCUACCACAUACUCAAGCACACCUUUGUGCAGGAUUGGUAAGCGUUGCUGUGAUUGACAGGAGGGACAAUGCCAUUCAUUUUGGCGUCAUCAUCAUCAUCAUCAUCAGGAUGCGAUCUCACAACCAGGUGAAAGAUUUUACUCUAAAGUGCACUGGAUAUUUUUGUUUGCUGUUGCUGUACAUCGUGGAUGACAGAUAAUACUGACAGAUAAUAGCCCAGAAAUGAGAUUUGUAGAAUUAACCCAUGAAACACAAAUCUCUUAAAGGAGUGAUCCUCGCUCACUUUGUGUUUCCAACUCGGUGUGUAUCCCCUCCAGGGCAGCUGAUAUUAGAGUGAGGAUGUGUGACUUUCAAACAAGUAAUGAUUGUGAAAGCAGAAAACGCCCUUUCGUUACUAUGAAAUGUGUAGGAAAAUAAAAUGUUGAAAAGAAAGUAAACAGCGCCACCAAUCUGCAAAUAUAAUCAUUACAGGUUUUAUAUUCAGUGAAGAGUGAGAAUUCUGUACAUAAAUGCAAUUGCAAAGUAACAAGUUUAUGUCCCAUUUUUCUUGUCAGUAUUGGACAAAAGCAGUGCUGUAGAGUGUUGACACCAUGUCGAGCUGGAAUUUUAGACCUAAAUGACAAUAAUUAAAGUCCUGUGUUUCUCA